ACGGAGGAUGCGAGCGUUAUCCGGAUUCAUUGGGUUUCCCGGGUGCGUCGUCUCCCUCUCCCGUCACUGCCCAAAUCCUGCAGCUUAACUGCAGAACUGCCAUUGAUACUGAUAGCCUUGAGUUUGGUUAAGGUAGGCGGAAUGUGUAAUGUAGCGGUGAAAUGCUUAGAUAUUACAGGGGGGGGGAGGUGCGGGGCAAGGGCAGGGAGGAGAAGGGGGGGAGGAGGAAAGAAAGAGGGGGGAGGGAAGAG
This 251-nucleotide ribosomal RNA is filed under the name uncultured prokaryote. RNAcentral describes it as "partial 16S rRNA". It matches the Rfam family "Bacterial small subunit ribosomal RNA", at positions 525 to 775 of the family's 1533-position model. The record is from RNAcentral.